GACGAACGCUGGCGGCGUGCUUAACACAUGCAAGUCGAACGGAAAGGCCCUGCUUUUGUGGGUGUUCGGGUGGCGAACGGGUGAGUAACACGUGAGUCAUCUGCCUUUGAUUUUGGGAUAACUACAGGAGAAUGGGGCUAAUACUGGAUAGGAGUUCCUGCUGCCGGUUGGGGGUUGGAAAGUUUCGGCCGUUGGGGCUGGACUCGAGGAGUAUCUGCUUGUUAGUGGGGGAGUGGCGUACCAAGGCAUAGACGGGCAGCCGGCCUGGAGGGGUGGCCGGGCACAAGAGGCCGGAGGUACGGACCAGGCUGCGACUGAAGGCAGUGGUCGGGAAUCUUACACAAUGGGGCAGAGCCUGAUGCAGAAGCGCCGCGUGCGGAAUGACAGCCUUCGGGUUGUAAACCGCUUUCGCCUUUGACGAAGCGUGAUUGACGGUAAUGGGUAAAGAAGCACCGGCUAACUACGUG
This 467-nucleotide ribosomal RNA is filed under the name uncultured bacterium. RNAcentral describes it as "partial 16S ribosomal RNA". It matches the Rfam family "Bacterial small subunit ribosomal RNA", at positions 28 to 507 of the family's 1533-position model. The record is from RNAcentral.